UACGUAGGGACCAAGCGUUGUUCGGAUUUACUGGGCGUAAAGGGCGCGUAGGCGGCAAUUCAAGUCAUCUGUGAAAUCUCCGGGCUUAACCCGGAACGGUCAGAUGAUACUGCUUUGCUAGAGUGCGGAAGGGGCAAUCGGAAUUCUUGGUGUAGCGGUGAAAUGCGUAGAUAUCGGGAGGAACACCUGUGGCGAAAGCGGCGCACUGGACCACAACUGACGCUGAGGCGCGAAAGCUAGGGGAGCAAACAGG
Molecule: ribosomal RNA, 253 nt
Filed under: uncultured prokaryote
Description: partial 16S ribosomal RNA
Rfam family: Bacterial small subunit ribosomal RNA
Source: RNAcentral